This 104-nucleotide ribosomal RNA is filed under the name Carlito syrichta (Philippine tarsier). The record is from RNAcentral. Lineage: Eukaryota; Metazoa; Chordata; Mammalia; Primates; Tarsiidae.
GUCAUACUACCCUGAAGAUGCCUGAUCUCCUUUGAUCUUGAAAGCUAAGCAGGGUCAAGCCUGGUUAGUACUUAGAUGGUAGAAAAACUGGGUCUUACCUGACC